GUCUCAGUUCGGAUUGGAGUCUGCAACCCGACUCCAUGAAGCUGGAUUCGCUAGUAAUCGCGCAUCAGCCACGGCGCGGUGAAUACGUUCCCGGGCCUUGUACACACCGCCCGUCAAGCCAUGGAAGCCGGGAGUGCCUGAAGUGCGUGAGCGCAAGCAGCGCCCUAAGGUAAAACCGGUGACUGGGGCUAAGUCGUAACAAGGUAGC
This 208-nucleotide ribosomal RNA is filed under the name uncultured bacterium. RNAcentral describes it as "partial 16S ribosomal RNA". It matches the Rfam family "Bacterial small subunit ribosomal RNA", at positions 1285 to 1500 of the family's 1533-position model. The record is from RNAcentral.